This 1554-nucleotide ribosomal RNA is filed under the name Staphylococcus aureus. Its description in RNAcentral is "16S ribosomal RNA". It matches the Rfam family "Bacterial small subunit ribosomal RNA". The record is from RNAcentral. Lineage: Bacteria; Bacillati; Bacillota; Bacilli; Caryophanales; Staphylococcaceae.
UUUAUGGAGAGUUUGAUCCUGGCUCAGGAUGAACGCUGGCGGCGUGCCUAAUACAUGCAAGUCGAGCGAACAGACGAGAAGCUUGCUUCUCUGAUGUUAGCGGCGGACGGGUGAGUAACACGUGGAUAACCUACCUAUAAGACUGGGAUAACUUCGGGAAACCGGAGCUAAUACCGGAUAAUAUUUUGAACCGCAUGGUUCAAAAGUGAAAGACGGUCUUGCUGUCACUUAUAGAUGGAUCCGCGCUGCAUUAGCUAGUUGGUAAGGUAACGGCUUACCAAGGCAACGAUGCAUAGCCGACCUGAGAGGGUGAUCGGCCACACUGGAACUGAGACACGGUCCAGACUCCUACGGGAGGCAGCAGUAGGGAAUCUUCCGCAAUGGGCGAAAGCCUGACGGAGCAACGCCGCGUGAGUGAUGAAGGUCUUCGGAUCGUAAAACUCUGUUAUUAGGGAAGAACAUAUGUGUAAGUAACUGUGCACAUCUUGACGGUACCUAAUCAGAAAGCCACGGCUAACUACGUGCCAGCAGCCGCGGUAAUACGUAGGUGGCAAGCGUUAUCCGGAAUUAUUGGGCGUAAAGCGCGCGUAGGCGGUUUUUUAAGUCUGAUGUGAAAGCCCACGGCUCAACCGUGGAGGGUCAUUGGAAACUGGAAAACUUGAGUGCAGAAGAGGAAAGUGGAAUUCCAUGUGUAGCGGUGAAAUGCGCAGAGAUAUGGAGGAACACCAGUGGCGAAGGCGACUUUCUGGUCUGUAACUGACGCUGAUGUGCGAAAGCGUGGGGAUCAAACAGGAUUAGAUACCCUGGUAGUCCACGCCGUAAACGAUGAGUGCUAAGUGUUAGGGGGUUUCCGCCCCUUAGUGCUGCAGCUAACGCAUUAAGCACUCCGCCUGGGGAGUACGACCGCAAGGUUGAAACUCAAAGGAAUUGACGGGGACCCGCACAAGCGGUGGAGCAUGUGGUUUAAUUCGAAGCAACGCGAAGAACCUUACCAAAUCUUGACAUCCUUUGACAACUCUAGAGAUAGAGCYUUCCCCUUCGGGGGACAAAGUGACAGGUGGUGCAUGGUUGUCGUCAGCUCGUGUCGUGAGAUGUUGGGUUAAGUCCCGCAACGAGCGCAACCCUUAAGCUUAGUUGCCAUCAUUAAGUUGGGCACUCUAAGUUGACUGCCGGUGACAAACCGGAGGAAGGUGGGGAUGACGUCAAAUCAUCAUGCCCCUUAUGAUUUGGGCUACACACGUGCUACAAUGGACAAUACAAAGGGCAGCGAAACCGCGAGGUCAAGCAAAUCCCAUAAAGUUGUUCUCAGUUCGGAUUGUAGUCUGCAACUCGACUACAUGAAGCUGGAAUCGCUAGUAAUCGUAGAUCAGCAUGCUACGGUGAAUACGUUCCCGGGUCUUGUACACACCGCCCGUCACACCACGAGAGUUUGUAACACCCGAAGCCGGUGGAGUAACCUUUUAGGAGCUAGCCGUCGAAGGUGGGACAAAUGAUUGGGGUGAAGUCGUAACAAGGUAGCCGUAUCGGAAGGUGCGGCUGGAUCACCUCCUUUCU